GUGCUCACUUCGGCAGCACAUAUACUAAAAUUGGAAUGAUACAGAGAAGAUUAGCAUGACCCCUGCACAAGGAUGACAUGCAAAUUCAUGAAGCAUUCCAUAUUUUU
This 107-nucleotide small nuclear RNA is filed under the name Myotis brandtii (Brandt's bat). Lineage: Eukaryota; Metazoa; Chordata; Mammalia; Chiroptera; Vespertilionidae. The record is from RNAcentral.